CGCGGCCUAUCAGCUUGUUGGUGAGGUAAUGGCUCACCAAGGCGACGACGGGUAGCCGGCCUGAGAGGGUGACCGGCCACACUGGGACUGAGACACGGCCCAGACUCCUACGGGAGGCAGCAGUGGGGAAUAUUGCACAAUGGGCGAAAGCCUGAUGCAGCGACGCCGCGUGAGGGAUGACGGCCUUCGGGUUGUAAACCUCUUUCAGUAGGGAAGAAGCGAAAGUGACGGUACCUGCAGAAGAAGCACCGGCUAACUACGUGCCAGCAGCCGCGGUAAUACGUAGGGUGCGAGCGUUAUCCGGAAUUAUUGGGCGUAAAGAGCUCGUAGGCGGUUUGUCGCGUCUGUCGUGAAAGUCCGGGGCUUAACCCCGGAUCCGCGGUGGGUACGGGCAGACUAGAGUGCAGUAGGGGAGACUGGAAUUCCUGGUGUAGCGGUGGAAUGCGCAGAUAUCAGGAGGAACACCGAUGGCGAAGGCAGGUCUCUGGGCUGUAACUGACGCUGAGGAGCGAAAGCAUGGGGAGCGAACAGGAUUAGAUACCCUGGUAGUCCAUGCCGUAAACGUUGGGCACUAGGUGUGGGGAACAUUCCACGUUUUCCGCGCCGCAGCUAACGCAUUAAGUGCCCCGCCUGGGGAGUACGG
Molecule: ribosomal RNA, 643 nt
Filed under: uncultured bacterium
Lineage: Bacteria
Description: bacterial SSU rRNA
Rfam family: Bacterial small subunit ribosomal RNA
Source: RNAcentral